Molecule: ribosomal RNA, 253 nt
Filed under: uncultured bacterium
Lineage: Bacteria
Description: partial 16S ribosomal RNA
Rfam family: Bacterial small subunit ribosomal RNA
Source: RNAcentral
UACGUAGGUGGCAAGCGUUGUCCGGAAUUCUUGGGCGUAAAGCGCGCGCAGGCGGUCCUUUAAGUCUGAUGUGAAAGCCCACGGCUCAACCGUGGAGGGUCAUUGGAAACUGGGGGACUUGAGUGCAGGAGAGAAGAGUGGAAUUCCACGUGUAGCGGUGAAAUGCGUAGAGAUGUGGAGGAACACCAGUGGCGAAGGCGACUCUUUGGCCUGUAACUGACGCUGAGGCGCGAAAGCGUGGGGAGCGAACAGG